GAUGAACGCUGGCGGCGUGCCUAAUACAUGCAAGUCGAGCGAACAGAUGAGGAGCUUGCUCCUCUGACGUUAGCGGCGGACGGGUGAGUAACACGUGGAUAACCUACCUAUAAGACUGGGAUAACUUCGGGAAACCGGAGCUAAUACCGGAUAAUAUAUUGAACCGCAUGGUUCAAUAGUGAAAGACGGUUUUGCUGUCACCUAUAGAUGGAUCCGCGCCGCAUUAGCUAGUUGGUAAGGUAACGGCUUACCAAGGCAACGAUGCGUAGCCGACCUGAGAGGGUGAUCGGCCACACUGGAACUGAGACACGGUCCAGACUCCUACGGGAGGCAGCAGUAGGGAAUCUUCCGCAAUGGGCGAAAGCCUGACGGAGCAACGCCGCGUGAGUGAUGAAGGUCUUCGGAUCGUAAAACUCUGUUAUUAGGGAAGAACAAAUGUGUAAGUAACUAUGCACGUCUUGAUGGUACCUAAUCAGAAAGCCACGGCUAACUACGUG
Molecule: ribosomal RNA, 497 nt
Filed under: uncultured bacterium
Lineage: Bacteria
Description: partial 16S ribosomal RNA
Rfam family: Bacterial small subunit ribosomal RNA
Source: RNAcentral